CAUAGAAAGUGCAUUGGGUCAUCUAUAACAGUAUGAACAUUCUCACUGUGUUGAUCAUGUCCUGCAGUACAGGUGAGCGCAGCAGACCAGAGGCUGCGAGUGUUUGACUCCACCCAGCGGAGGUGGAAACACGUCUGCUCAUCCAGCGCCAACCAGCUCAUCGCCAACAUCAGCUGUGAAGAGAUGGGCUUCAUCAGAGCAGUGAAUUUCUCAGUGACAUGUGCUCCUGAUAAUGGUGGUGACCGAGAUUUUUUCUGCGUAAAAGAGAGUGAGUUAACUUAUGGGAAGAAGAUAAAAACAGCCCUUUAUCCUUGUAAAUGUGACAAAGGUCAGAUACUUGAGGUGAUUUGUCAGG
This is a long non-coding RNA of Sinocyclocheilus grahami, 355 nucleotides long. RefSeq lists it as uncharacterized. The record is from RefSeq and is a predicted model, not a curated record. Lineage: Eukaryota; Metazoa; Chordata; Actinopteri; Cypriniformes; Cyprinidae. The transcript has 3 exons.